CAGAGGCAUUGGCAGAAGAAAUAAAUGAGUACCUAUCAUGGGUCCAAGAAGCGGGUGUACUCUGCUGAUGUUAUUAACAUUAGGAGGAUAAAGCCCACUCACAUGUUCCCUACCCCAGGUCCUAGACCUCAGGGUCCCUCCUGAGGGCUCCAGAGAAGCCAGGUAAAAAGCCCCUCAUUGGGGCUCCUGGCAGAAUAGAAAAAUACAAAGAGGAACACUCCUGGAAAGGGAGAUGUGUCCUCAUUCAUCAUUGGGAGAGUUGGCUUCAGCUGUGCUGACCCACCUAGGAAAGCUAUGUGUGUGGGGGAAAGGGAUACCAUUUAUUCAGACCUGGACUGUGUGAGGCUGGCUGUAGGCUUUUGUGACAUCGAGUAUCUGAACUGGAGGGCUGUUCAGCAAAACUGAAGCCUUCCUUCCUGGGUUCUGAAGGCUCUCACCCCUAAUUAUGCAUCCCACUGAGGCUUGGACCCUUCCUCCAUCUAGAAGAAACAGUGAGCUAUACUGUCCAGUUUGGCACCUGCUCUUCUCUAAAUAGAGGGAAGAUCUGACAUUCCAGGGAAGAGGAACCAAGCCUUCUGUCUUUCCCAGGGUUAGGAUGAACCUGGGUGUCAGUCUGAUUCUGAAAGGGUUGGUAUGAGGACCUUGGGGCCUGGAAGAGGCAAGAAAUGGCCCAUCUCUUCCUGCCUGCCUCCCACCCCCCACCUUGUACCUGACAUCGCUGCAGGAAUGUUGCUGGAGGUUGGGGCUUGGCUGCAA
Molecule: long non-coding RNA, 756 nt
Filed under: Marmota monax (woodchuck)
Lineage: Eukaryota; Metazoa; Chordata; Mammalia; Rodentia; Sciuridae
Source: RNAcentral